AAAGCCAAGGACAGACACAUUGCCAAGGAACUGGCACUCCUAAGGGCUUCAAAUCCCACACCACCAAUGGUUUCGCAUCUUGAUGAAGUGGACGAUGCAGUAAUUGAAGAGGGAAUCAAGAGGGCAGUGGAGGCGAGGUCACAAGUUCUCUGUAUCCUCCAUUACUGCUAUAUCACAACUUUCAACUUCUCCCCACACUUCCAGCAUGGUUUCUUGUGACCACAGUACCCCAAAUGUGCAGCUUUCUUCUCCUUCUGCCAGCAUGGCUUCCUGUGACCACGGCAUCCCAAAUAUGCAAUCUCCUUCUGCCACCAAGGCUUCCUGUGACCACGCCAGCCGAAAUGUGCAGCCUCCUUCUGCCACUGACCUUGAGUAAAACUGGUUGAGGAAUUUAAGGGCUAUACAGAAGGCGCAAACCCAGGCAGGAAAACACGUGAAAAUACAAAGCAGCGAGCAACUCAUGUUAUCCAGUUUCUGGAAUUCAUGGCAGACUCAGCAACUCCAAACGUUGACCUUCUUUUCCUGGCAAACCAUGGUAGAGUUCGUGGUUUUGUACAGCACCUCCAAGAAAAAGGGUUUAAACCAACAAUCCAGAGAAAUUAUUUAAUGGACGCUGUGGCUUUCAUGAAAUAUGUUUCAAACAUGUCUCCACCAUCUGUCCGACUUGGAAAUAAAAGGAUCAAUGCC
Long non-coding RNA from Scatophagus argus, 687 nucleotides. RefSeq lists it as uncharacterized. The transcript has 3 exons. The record is from RefSeq and is a predicted model, not a curated record. NCBI's taxonomy places the organism in Eukaryota, Metazoa, Chordata, Actinopteri, Scatophagidae.